RNAcentral lists this unclassified non-coding RNA (387 nucleotides) under uncultured bacterium. RNAcentral's name for it is "contains 16S-23S intergenic spacer region". The record is from RNAcentral.
CUCCCACGCCGAGCGGGGGAAAGCGAACCGGAUGACGCGUUCCUCAGAACCUGGCCCCACAAAAGCAAAUCCGGUCUUGUGCAGCACCCCCAUGGAGGGGGCCAGCUCGGGAUAGGUCUCGGCGAUUACUCGGGUUACUCGGGGAUCGGCAAAGGCGUGGCCGAGAAACCCGCCGACCGCUUCGGUAGCCAGGCCCCGGCGCUGGUAGGCCUCGACCACCGAGUAUCCAAUCUCCACCGAGCCGUCUUCCGCGGGCCCGCCUUUGAAUCCGCCGAAUCCUAUGAGUCGCCGUGGCUCACCGCCGGCAGGCCGGAGUAAAAAGAAAUAGGUCCGCCAGCCCGCUUCCUGCGGUUUUAGUUGCAGCCGAUGCAACGAGGACUCCAUCGU